This 389-nucleotide ribosomal RNA is filed under the name uncultured Gammaproteobacteria bacterium. RNAcentral describes it as "bacterial SSU rRNA". It matches the Rfam family "Bacterial small subunit ribosomal RNA", at positions 351 to 732 of the family's 1533-position model. Lineage: Bacteria; Pseudomonadati; Pseudomonadota; Gammaproteobacteria. The record is from RNAcentral.
GCAGUGGGGAAUAUUGGACAAUGGGCGCAAGCCUGAUCCAGCAAUACCGCGUGUGUGAAGAAGGCCUGCGGGUUGUAAAGCACUUUCAAUUGUGAAGAAAAGCUUGGGGCUAAUAUCCUCGAGUCUUGACGUUAACUUUAGAAGAAGCACCGGCUAACUCUGUGCCAGCAGCCGCGGUAAUACAGAGGGUGCGAGCGUUAAUCGGAAUUACUGGGCGUAAAGCGUGCGUAGGCGGUUUAGUAAGUCAGAUGUGAAAGCCCUGGGCUUAACCUGGGAACUGCAUUUGAAACUGCUGAACUAGAGUGUGGUAGAGGGAAGUGGAAUUCCGGGUGUAGCGGUGAAAUGCGUAGAUAUCCGGAGGAACACCAGUGGCGAAGGCGACUUCCUGG